GCGUGGGUCGGCCCGCUGUACUGGAUCCAGUGGGCUGGGGGACACCGCCGCCUACAUCCCCGCGGGCGGCGGACCGGUCCGGGAGGCGAGCUCCGCCUCCCGGACUGUG
RNAcentral lists this non-coding RNA (109 nucleotides) under Streptomyces sp. NRRL WC-3618. RNAcentral describes it as "Streptomyces RNA 4115". It matches the Rfam family "Streptomyces RNA 4115". Rfam says of the family: Identified by deep sequencing of transcriptome at the end of exponential growth phase. Sequencing size consistent with notrthern blot size. Lineage: Bacteria; Bacillati; Actinomycetota; Actinomycetes; Kitasatosporales; Streptomycetaceae. The record is from Rfam by way of RNAcentral.